RNAcentral lists this long non-coding RNA (726 nucleotides) under Equus asinus (donkey). RNAcentral's name for it is "lncRNA (ENSEASG00005036872.1)". The record is from RNAcentral. Lineage: Eukaryota; Metazoa; Chordata; Mammalia; Perissodactyla; Equidae.
CAGGUCUGGCAGCUGGGGGGAGGAGGCGCUCAGGCCCUCGGGAAGGCCCCGAUGGGGGCCUCCAAUCCCCCUCCCUGACCCUCUAAAUCGAUCAGCAGUGACCCUGGCCCUCGCCCCGCCGCGUCUGAUCUGAGGAGGCCCCCUCCCCGCCCGUCGCGCCUCCUGGGGUGACCGCUGCCCCGUCUCCCCCCGCAGGCAGCCCCGGGCCACGACCCCGCAUCGCCUGGACCAGGUGUUGUGUUUCUGGGGCUGCCGAGGCCCGGUCCUGCCGGCGCCCGCCUCCCGCCGCAGCCUGGCCGACCACUGGCUGAGCCCGCAGCGCCGCGCCGCCGGGCGCCGCCUGCUGCUGGCCGGCGCGCAACCUGCUGCCCCCACCGGGGGCCACCAGCCGGGCCAGCCGCUGCGGAGCGCGCCCGCGCCUCCCGUGGAAGCACCAGUGGCAGAAUAUUAACUACCAACUCCUGGGCAAGAGGAAGAGCCAUCUGGUUCCCCUGCGCCCGUGAGAGCGAAUGUGAGGAAACAGGCUCCAGGUUCAUCACAUGGUGGUCCCAAGGCCGACUUGUGCAAGCCAGGAUGACAGGAGGACGGCGUGGGAGCACUGCUCAAUCCCGUAGCCCUUCCCUGUGGCUGAAGAUGAUCCACCUUCGCCCUGUCUCCUGAGGUCUCCGUGUUUCUGCCCUUCACGGCCCAAAUAAAGCAGCUUUUGCCUCUCUCUGGCCCUCUCCA